This 21-nucleotide microRNA is filed under the name Homo sapiens (human). RNAcentral's name for it is "hsa-miR-552-5p". Its record names the gene hsa-miR-552-5p. The record is from miRBase by way of RNAcentral. Lineage: Eukaryota; Metazoa; Chordata; Mammalia; Primates; Hominidae.
GUUUAACCUUUUGCCUGUUGG